ACGAAAAAUAACGAUACGGGACUCAUCCGAGGCCCCGUAAUCGGAAUGAGUACACUCUAAACCCUUUAACGAGGAUCAAUUGGAGGGCAAGUCUGGUGCCAGCAGCCGCGGUAAUUCCAGCUCCAAUAGCGUAUAUUAAAGUUGUUGCGGUUAAAAAGCUCGUAGUCGAAUUUGUGUCCCGCGCCGCCGGUUCAUCGCUCGCGGUGUCAACUGGCGUGUCCGCGGGACGUCCUGCCGGUGGGCUUAGCUCCGUGCGGGCGGCCCAAUCUCAAUCCCACCGCGGUGCUCUUCACUGAGUGUCGAGGUGGGCCGGCACGUUUACUUUGAACAAAUUAGAGUGCUUAAAGCAGGCUAAAACAUCGCCUGAAUACUGUGUGCAUGGAAUAAUGGAAUAGGACCUCGGUUCUAUUUUGUUGGUUUUCGGAACCCCGAGGUAAUGAUUAAUAGGAACGGAUGGGGGCAUUCGUAUUGCGACGUUAGAGGUGAAAUUCUUGGAUCGUCGCAAGACGGACAGAAGCGAAAGCAUUUGCCAAAAACGCUUUCAUUGAUCAAGAACGAAAGUUAGAGGUUCGAAGGCGAUCAGAUACCGCCCUAGUUCUAACCAUAAACGAUGCCAGCUAGCGAUCCGCCGACGUUCCUCCGAUGACUCGGCGGGCAGCUUCCGGGAAACCAAAGCUUUUGGGUUCCGGGGGAAGUAUGGUUGCAAAGCUGAAACUUAAAGGAAUUGACGGAAGGGCACCACCAGGAGUGGAGCCUGCGGCUUAAUUUGACUCAACACGGGAAACCUCACCAGGCCCGGACACCGGAAGGAUUGACAGAUUGAGAGC
Molecule: ribosomal RNA, 827 nt
Filed under: Scybalophagus plicatipennis
Lineage: Eukaryota; Metazoa; Arthropoda; Insecta; Coleoptera; Scarabaeidae
Also listed under: 1 other name
Description: SSU rRNA
Rfam family: Eukaryotic small subunit ribosomal RNA
Source: RNAcentral